AGUGUAGGCGGUUACUUAAGUCGGAUGUGAAAGCCCUGGGCUCAACCUGGGAAUGGCAUUCGAUACUGGGUAACUAGAGUUUGGUAGAGGUAAGUGGAAUUCCGGGUGUAGCGGUGAAAUGCGUAGAUAUCCGGAGGAACAUCAGUGGCGAAGGCGGCUUACUGGACCAAAACUGACGCUGAGGCUCGAAAGCGUGGGGAGCAAACAGGAUUAGAUACCCUGGUAGUCC
RNAcentral lists this ribosomal RNA (229 nucleotides) under uncultured bacterium. Its description in RNAcentral is "partial 16S ribosomal RNA". It matches the Rfam family "Bacterial small subunit ribosomal RNA", at positions 568 to 796 of the family's 1533-position model. The record is from RNAcentral.